AAUUCGCUUAAUGAGAUGCCAACAAAUAAUAGUACAAAAGGUUUGUUUGUGGACCAUCGUUGUAGUCUCUCCGCAUCAAUAGAUUUUGCUAAUUUUCCCGAGAGCAUCACGACAACAUUGUUGGAGAAGCCCCAGGAAGAAGAAGAGUACAUGCUCAAGAUAGAAGAAGAUACACGCACUUUGGCACACACACACAUAUAGUGCAUUUUCUCUUGUAUUUCCUCUCUUUCAUGUAGCUGAUUACAAAGUCCUUUAGUAGAGACACACACGUACUACAUACUGCUUAAUGAUUAUUAGCAUCAUAUUUUCAAACCAUUCACUGACCUCUAAAGGACAGAGAAAGUUCAUAAACUACAUCCGAAUUCUGGUGUGUCUUUCGAGCCCCUUCAGUUCUACAAAAGAUAUGUCAUGAUAGCAAUCUGCUACUAUAUAUACAAAAGUCAGAAGAAUAUGAUUCCACUUAAAAUAAGGCAGAUUAACCUAUCAAUUCCACUUUCAAGAUCGAACAAACUAAUUGUACUUAUUCGAAGUAAUAUGUUGAAUUUUGGAAGUUUAGUAGAAUGUGUUUAAAUACUUACAUGUAAACAAUGUCCACGGUGUUCCGAAUAUCCCAACAUAAUAUGUAUAGAUCCUAACAAAAAAUCAUGACGAGGUCAGUUGUUUGUAUAGUCCCAAGAUAUAUGUGAUGAAGAACCUUGAGAUCAGUUAUUGAAAAUACAGAUUUUUAGUUACCUUCCACCCUCCAUUAUAUAAAUAAUUUCCAUAUUUUAAAAAAAGCACCUGAGAUUUGCAUCAUUGUUAUAUGCUAUCUAUACAACAAAAGCUAAGGAAGUAGUGUUGCUUCACAAACCUGUGUAACACCCCCAAGCUGGCCAUUAGAACAUAUAAUGGCUCCAUGCUACCCUCUGCAUAAACAGCUGUUGUGUGGCUAUAAGAGCCAACUGCGAGCAUCCCAUUUUGAGGGGAGAACGAAAUUGAAGUUACUAUACCUGUUGGAAAUAAGGAGAUCAUAAGAGGAACAACAAGGUAUUGGCUCAAAAUUACUCCCUUUGUAAACUAAUAUAAGAGCGUUUAGAUUACUAAAAUAGUGUUCUAAAUGCUCUUAUAUUAGUUUACGGAGGGAGUACUUUGAAGUUUAAUUAUGAAAAAAUAAUAAUAAUAAUGAAUACUAUCUCAAUAUUUCAUUCAUUAGUACUGUGGUAAUAACAUGACAUGUUACCGAGGGUGCCUAACUGUUUGAUUGAAGUCUUGAAGGUAGUAAUGAUGGUUACCUCCUCCUUGGUGCGGGGAUGCAUGGGCCACCUCUGCGGCGUCUUCCGCAGCCGGAGCCCCACUCGGGCGUGG
Molecule: long non-coding RNA, 1344 nt
Filed under: Hordeum vulgare
Lineage: Eukaryota; Viridiplantae; Streptophyta; Magnoliopsida; Poales; Poaceae
Description: long non-coding RNA (HVUL_LNC000079)
Rfam family: MIR1120/MIR1122 microRNA precursor family (bases 1041-1127)
Source: RNAcentral